RNAcentral lists this ribosomal RNA (271 nucleotides) under uncultured prokaryote. Its description in RNAcentral is "partial 16S ribosomal RNA". It matches the Rfam family "Bacterial small subunit ribosomal RNA", at positions 524 to 794 of the family's 1533-position model. The record is from RNAcentral.
UACGGAGGAUCCGAGCGUUAUCCGGAUUUAUUGGGUUUAAAGGGUGCGCAGGCGGGAUGUUAAGUCGGCGGUGAAAUUUUGCAGCUCAACUGUAAAAGUGCCUUCGAUACUGGCUUCCUUGAGUGUGGAUGAAGUAGGCGGAAUUUGUGGUGUAGCGGUGAAAUGCAUAGAUAUUACAAGGAACUCCAAUUGCGAAGGCAGCUUACUAAAUUACAACUGACGCUUAGGCACGAAGGCGUGGGUAUCAAACAGGAUUAGAUACCCGCGUAGU